RNAcentral lists this ribosomal RNA (484 nucleotides) under uncultured bacterium. RNAcentral describes it as "partial 16S ribosomal RNA". It matches the Rfam family "Bacterial small subunit ribosomal RNA", at positions 28 to 523 of the family's 1533-position model. The record is from RNAcentral.
GACGAACGCUGGCGGCGUGCUUAACACAUGCAAGUCGAACGAUGAAGCUGGAGCUUGCUCCGGUGGAUUAGUGGCGAACGGGUGAGUAACACGUGAGUAAUCUGCCCUUGACUCUGGGAUAACUGCGGGAAACUGUAGCUAAUACCGGAUACGACACCUUCGGGCAUCCGAUGGGUGUGGAAAGAAUUUCGGUCAAGGAUGAACUCGCGGCCUAUCAGCUAGUUGGUGAGGUAAUGGCUCACCAAGGCGACGACGGGUAGCCGGCCUGAGAGGGUGACCGGCCACACUGGGACUGAGACACGGCCCAGACUCCUACGGGAGGCGGCAGUGGGGAAUAUUGCACAAUGGGCGAAAGCCUGAUGCAGCAACGCCGCGUGAGGGAUGAAGGCCUUCGGGUUGUAAACCUCCUUUAGUUGGGAAGAAGCGAAAGUGACGGUACCAACAGAAUAAGCACCGGCUAACUACGUGCCAGCCGCCGCGGUAA